Molecule: ribosomal RNA, 216 nt
Filed under: Glomeromycotina sp.
Lineage: Eukaryota; Fungi; Glomeromycota
Description: partial small subunit ribosomal RNA
Rfam family: Eukaryotic small subunit ribosomal RNA (bases 40-216)
Source: RNAcentral
GGGUCAGUAGGUUGGUCGUGCCACCGGUACGUACUGGUCUCACUGAUUCCUCCUUCCUGAAGAACCGUAAUGCCAUUAAUUUGGUGUUGCGGGGAAACAGGACUGUUACUUUGAAAAAAUUAGAGUGUUUAAAGCAAGCUAACGCUUGAAUACAUUAGCAUGGAAUAAUGAAAUAGGACGACCGAUCCUAUUUUGUUUGUUUCUAGGAUUGACGUA